AAACUUCAUUCCUGGCUUUGGUUGCAUGGACCAGAACAAGCAUAAGGAGUGGAGACUUUGGAGAAGCACAGAAAUUAAAGGGAGCAGUACAGAAUGGAUACACCUGAAAACAAGAGCUGAAGGAAAAGUUAAUCAUCGCUGAACAAUUCCUGUGAAUGUGCAUCUCUGCUUGAAGUUGGUAAAUGCUAUUUGAAUAUGAUAUCAGCCCUCACUGGUACCUCCAUCAUUUCUGUUUUAAAACAAAAUCAGCAUUAAAGUUCAAAAACAGAUGAAUUUGGAGAUUCCUGACUCAGCUGAAAACAAAAACUGAAG
Long non-coding RNA from Pristis pectinata (smalltooth sawfish), 312 nucleotides. RefSeq lists it as uncharacterized. The record is from RefSeq and is a predicted model, not a curated record. Lineage: Eukaryota; Metazoa; Chordata; Chondrichthyes; Rhinopristiformes; Pristidae. The transcript has 3 exons.